GAUGAAGAACGUAGCGAAAUGCGAUACGUAGUGUGAAUUGCAGAAUUCAGUGAAUCAUCGAAUCUUUGAACGCACAUUGCGCCCUUUGGUAUUCCAAAGGGCAUGCCUGUUCGAGCGUCAUUUGUACCCUCAAGCUUUGCUUGGUGUUGGGCGUUUUUGUCUUUGGCCCGCCAAAGACUCGCCUUAAAAUGAUUGGCAGCCGGCCUACUGGUUUCGCAGCGCAGCACAUUUUUGCGCUUGCAAUCAGCAAAAGAGGACGGCAAUCCAUCAAGACUCCUUCUCACGUUUGACCUCGGAUCAGGUAGGGAUACCCGCUGAACUUAAGCAUAUCAAUAAGCGGAGGA
RNAcentral lists this unclassified non-coding RNA (344 nucleotides) under soil metagenome. RNAcentral describes it as "partial contains 5.8S ribosomal RNA, internal transcribed spacer 2, and large subunit ribosomal RNA". The stretch from base 1 to 120 matches the Rfam family "5.8S ribosomal RNA", at positions 35 to 154 of the family's 154-position model. The record is from RNAcentral.